GUUCCAUUCUCGAAGGAACCGGAAAUAUGCUGGUACUCCGAAUGCAAUGGAAACCGGAUAUCCGUCAAUCGGAAAUGACGACGGAACCCGGAAGAAACGAAGGACGGAACAGAUGUUCGGUAUUCCCCCAUCAUAAGAAGGUAUAAAACAAUGUGUGGCAUUUGGACACCCCUAGGAGCAACUGAGGAAGCCCAAUUUUUGGGCGAAAUGCGUCUUGCUUGAUCUCCCAGAGUGG
This is a non-coding RNA of Pelobates cultripes (western spadefoot toad), 235 nucleotides long. The record is from the annotation of a GenBank genome assembly. Lineage: Eukaryota; Metazoa; Chordata; Amphibia; Anura; Pelobatidae.